RNAcentral lists this ribosomal RNA (469 nucleotides) under uncultured beta proteobacterium. Its description in RNAcentral is "bacterial SSU rRNA". It matches the Rfam family "Bacterial small subunit ribosomal RNA", at positions 189 to 649 of the family's 1533-position model. The record is from RNAcentral. Lineage: Bacteria; Pseudomonadati; Pseudomonadota; Betaproteobacteria.
GGAGGAACCUUGGGAUCGCAAGACCUUGCGCUCAUUGAGCGGCCGAUGCCUGAUUAGCUAGUUGGUGAGGUAAAGGCUUACCAAGGCGACGAUCAGUAGCUGGUCUGAGAGGACGACCAGCCACACUGGGACUGAGACUCGGCCCAGACUCCUACGGGAGGCAGCAGUGGGGAAUUUUGGACAAUGGGGGAAACCCUGAUCCAGCCAUGCCGCGUGAGUGAAGAAGGCCUUCGGGUUGUAAAGCUCUUUCAGCCGGAACGAAACGGUCACGGCUAAUACCUGUGACUACUGACGGUACCGGAAGAAGAAGCACCGGCUAACUACGUGCCAGCAGCCGCGGUAAUACGUAGGGUGCGAGCGUUAAUCGGAAUUACUGGGCGUAAAGCGUGCGCAGGCGGUUUUGUAAGUCAGAUGUGAAAUCCCCGGGCUUAACCUGGGAACUGCGUUUGAAACUACAAAGCUAGAAGGG